CCUACGGGUGGCUGCAGUAGGGAAUUUUCCACAAUGGGCGAAAGCCUGAUGGAGCAACGCCGCGUGCAGGAUGAAUGCCUUCGGGUUGUAAACUGCUUUUGUUUGUGACGAUUAUGACGGUAACAAGCGAAUAAGGGUCUGCUAACUACGUGCCAGCAGCCGCGGUCAUACGUAGGACCCAAGCGUUAUCCGGAAUUACUGGGCGUAAAGAGUUGCGUAGGUGGCACAGUAAGUUAGCAGUGAAAGCGUGUGGCUCAACCAUACAUACAUUGCUA
Molecule: ribosomal RNA, 275 nt
Filed under: uncultured bacterium
Lineage: Bacteria
Description: partial 16S ribosomal RNA
Rfam family: Bacterial small subunit ribosomal RNA
Source: RNAcentral